CACAUUGAUCUCGUUUUAAUACUUGAAAUUGUUUUCGUAACAGGUUCAAGAUGUCGCACUCUGGUGCAAGAUACUGCGCAGCGAGUAACUGCAGGAACAACAGCACAGACGCUAAAUGCAUGAGCUUCUUCACCUUCCCGAAGGAUAAUGACAGAUGUGCUGAAUGGAUAGAAAACGUUCAAAGUCCAGAGUUAAAGAAGCUUUAUCCAGACGGGCGCUCCUUGCACAAACGAUGUUACCUGUGUGCUUGCCACUUUGAAGAACAGAUGUUUACCUCCACUGCCAAGAACCGGUUGAAAACUACAGCAGUUCCAACUUUGCUGUCUUCUGCUCGUCAUCCAUUUGUUUAUCGAGCCAAACGUAAGUCUACUUCAGAAGAGGACAACUUUCCACAGCCCCUCACGAAGCAACAAAAAUUGUACAGCUCUGUUUGUGUUUCACAAACAUCGAACCCUCUGUCAAUGUGUACUACUGCUACGGUCUGUCCCGCAACCAAACCAGUCCCAACGGAUAAACAACAAGCGCUGGCUGCGGCCAUUCGAGGUAUCCAAACUGAGAUUUCUGAAGUAACUGUAGCCAAAAGUUCCCAAACUGACGCCAGUAAUCACGAAACUCCUGUGCCAGCCAGAACUCCCAUUCUCUCAACUCCAUCAUCCGCGAAUGAGACUCCUUCCAAUGCAACUUCAAGCAUGGUGGAAACUGAACCCUCGACAUCCAAUACCAAUGCAUGGUCCACAGAUGAGCCGAUGCUCCCACCAAACACCCACGGAACUCCUCAUGCCAAAGUCUCACGCAGUGCAACCUCAAAAAUGGUGAAUGCUGGGUGCCAAACGGGAAAACUCCUAUCUACCAAUACUCCCCGAAAAAAUACCCUGCGAAAAAAAAAGCGAGCUCUAGCCAGAAAGCUACGUUACGCUGAGGCAAAAUCAAGGCCGCCAAAUGCAAGCGGUACGAACCCCAAGGCGGAAGAGCAUAACAAAUAUGCCAAAUUCCUUGAAUAUUGUAGCGUAUUUCUCCCCAAGAAUGUUGCUGACAUCACAAAAGAACAAGCUACUUUGCACGCUACUAAGAAUCCGAAAGGAUAUCGCUACAGCAUGCAAUUCAAGCAAUUUGCCUUGACACUGUUCUAUAUGAGUCCGAAAGCUUACCGCUAUGCUCGUACCAUUUUUGUGUUACCCGCUCCGCGCACGCUGAGGAACAUAACAGCAAAAUGGAAAAUAACAGCCUGGGUUUAAUGAAAAUGUAUUCCGAGUAUUACAGGCUAAAGCGAAUU
RNAcentral lists this long non-coding RNA (1273 nucleotides) under Bemisia tabaci. RNAcentral describes it as "lncRNA ENSASIAIIG013117". The record is from RNAcentral. Lineage: Eukaryota; Metazoa; Arthropoda; Insecta; Hemiptera; Aleyrodidae.